Molecule: non-coding RNA, 354 nt
Organism: Gasterosteus aculeatus aculeatus (three-spined stickleback)
Lineage: Eukaryota; Metazoa; Chordata; Actinopteri; Perciformes; Gasterosteidae
Source: RefSeq, a predicted model, not a curated record
UGUGUGUGUGUGUGUGUGCAUGUGUGUGCGUGUGUGUGUGUGAGUUCGUGGGGGAGGUGGGAGGUCCAUCCUGCCUGCUUUCACCGAGUUGUGGAGUAAAUCAGCAGUAAUGAGGAAGAGGAGGAAUACCUCGGCGUCAUAACAGACUGCAGAAACCUUUACCAGAAAAGUGCACCGAUGCACACAGGUGGAGCAGUAUCGGGAAGGAGAGCAACAAACACAAGGAAAACAAUCGUUGGAAAUGGAGAACAUCAUGAGGACACCCACUGUUACUGACUAAUUGCUGGCACGAAAAUGACACUCUGCUUCUUCUUCCCCCGUACUUGGACAAUCGCUCUGGAAUCUCACAGCGAU